GUGCUGAUGAAGAGUCCCAAACUAGGACGAAACAGCUGUCCAGUAC
Molecule: non-coding RNA, 46 nt
Organism: Trichobilharzia regenti
Lineage: Eukaryota; Metazoa; Platyhelminthes; Trematoda; Strigeidida; Schistosomatidae
Source: Rfam